RNAcentral lists this long non-coding RNA (207 nucleotides) under Spirodela polyrhiza (greater duckweed). Its description in RNAcentral is "long non-coding RNA (SPOL_LNC001996)". The record is from RNAcentral. Lineage: Eukaryota; Viridiplantae; Streptophyta; Magnoliopsida; Alismatales; Araceae.
UGUCGUUCCGUAUGGCGAUUUUUUGUCUCAUCUGUACGCGAGAUUAGACGAUAUGAUAAGAUUUGUCCGCGAUUUUAUCGCGCGGCGCACGAGCGGACGGCCACUGACGUCAGCUAUUCGGCGAGAGACGCGACGGGGACUUACCGCUGUGGGGCCCACCAAGAUGUCCGAUUUGAACCGGACGCUCCGACGUUAUCCACUCGCCGC